RNAcentral lists this transfer RNA (72 nucleotides) under Candidatus Omnitrophota bacterium. Its description in RNAcentral is "tRNA-Phe". It matches the Rfam family "tRNA". From Rfam's summary of the family: Transfer RNA (tRNA) molecules are approximately 80 nucleotides in length. Their secondary structure includes four short double-helical elements and three loops (D, anti-codon, and T loops). Further hydrogen bonds mediate the characteristic L-shaped molecular structure. tRNAs have two regions of fundamental functional importance: the anti-codon, which is responsible for specific mRNA codon recognition, and the 3' end, to which the tRNAs corresponding amino acid is attached (by aminoacyl-tRNA synthetases). tRNAs cope with the degeneracy of the genetic code in two manners: having more than one tRNA (with a specific anti-codon) for a particular amino acid; and 'wobble' base-pairing, i.e. permitting non-standard base-pairing at the 3rd anti-codon position. The record is from RNAcentral. Lineage: Bacteria; Pseudomonadati; Candidatus Omnitrophota.
GCCGAGAUAGCUCAUUGGUAGAGCGCGGCCCUGAAAAGGCCGGCGUAGGGGGUCCGAUUCCCUCUCUCGGCA